Molecule: non-coding RNA, 3969 nt
Organism: Tetranychus urticae (two-spotted spider mite)
Lineage: Eukaryota; Metazoa; Arthropoda; Arachnida; Trombidiformes; Tetranychidae
Source: RefSeq, a predicted model, not a curated record
AACUUUUUCAAAAGAUUCGAAAUGCAGCAGCAAACUACAAUAUCAACUCAGACUGGUUGCACUUAUCACCAAGCUUUCCCCUGGAAUAUUCGACUGUUCCACUGCAACGUUGGUAAAAAAUACAAGGAAACAAGAGACAUGAUCAACAUCAUUCUCAAAACAAAUGAUUCGAUUGGAUCUAUGGUAGAGGCAAAUAGGCGAACUGUUUUUAGGAAAGCGUCUCAAGAAAACAUCAUUGCAAAUGAUCAAACUGUUUUAAUUGUGUCCAACAACUUAAGAAUCUUUGGUUACAAUACAACCAUUCCGAACAUUAUACUAGCUCUGGUUGGAAAUGGAAAGGAAGCCAUUCUUGUGUGUUCAGCUUACAUCAAUCCAUCUGAUUUAAAGACACAAAUGCGACGCUUUACUACCUUUAUUGAAAAAUAUCUUCAAUUCCCUAUCAUAAUAGCUGGCGAUUUCAACUGUCAACAUCACCUAUGGUCAAGUAAAAACUCUUUUCGCUAUGGCAGUGAGGAUCCAGCAACACACCUGAGUGAGUUUAUUUGGAAACAUUCUCUUUCGAUUUACAACUUCCCUUCAAAUGCUGACAAUUACACCUUCAAACGACAAAAUCAUGUCUCUUGGAUAGAUUUGAUUUUGGGCAACAUUGAGACUAGGGACUUUGACCUAACAGAAGAGUUCGUAACAGAUCAUAGAAUGAUGAAGGUUAGCUUUUAUUUUAGUGUUAUUUUUCAUGAAAAACUUCAGUUUCAAAAAUAUAAGUCAUACUUCACUCCAAUAAAAGAUCUCAACAUGAAAAUGAAAAUAGACAUGACUAACAACUAUGAAAUAGACCAAACUUUUAGAAGAAUAUUAAGCGCUAACUUUGACAAUAACAAGAAAUGUUUGAUUCAGUAUAAAAAAUACAAUCUCAAGCUAAUGAAACUUAGAAAAAGAAUCAAACAACUAUCUAGAUUCAAUAAACAUAACUUCUCAGAAGAAAUUAAUGAAACAGUAAGAGAUCUAAAACAACAAGAGCAAAUAGAAAGGGAGAAGACGAGGAAGAACACUCUUUUAUAUCUAAUGAAAAACCUCAAUAAUCCGUUAGUUACCUGGCCCAUUAUAAACAGAAUUAUGAAACCCAAUGACACUUUAUCUGCUCUAUUGUCAGAUGACGAUUGCAGGCAAAGGGAACUUUGGGGCUUCAUCUACUCUUAUCCUUAUUUUACUUAUACGUCAGGAACUGAAACAAAUUGUUUAACAAAUGAAGAGGAAGUUGCGAUCAGAGAGAUGAUCUUUAAGAAGCGUUCAGGUUAUGCUGAUAACUUCACUGCCAAAACAUGGAAACUUUUUUGGUCAAACAACAAGGAACAACUCAUACAACUCAUCAAGAUAACCUUUGAGAAAGGUUACAUUCCCCAAUCUCUCAAAAUAUUCGGGGCUCACUUUAUUCCCAAACCAAAUGGGACUUUUCGUGUAAUCAGAAUCUCCAACUACAUCUUGAAGAUUUAUGAUAAAAUUCUCUCCAAAAGGAUCAAGAAAGUCUUGAGUAAUGUUUUAAUAAGACAAACGCAAUUUGCCUAUCAAACUGGUAUCAAUAUUAUGGACCUACAUGUAAUCCUGUCGGAGAAAUGGAGUAAAGAGAAAAUCCUGAUAAGUGCGGAUGUUUCGAAAGCCUUCGACAUGGUCAACAUUGAUUAUGCUACAGAUGAACUUUCUCGGGUAUUGCCAAAAUCUGAUAUUGAAAUGAUUAAACAGUUUGUUCACGGUCGGUGGCUAAGGACCAAGGUACACAAUUCCUUCAAAUUUAAACCGGACCCUUUCGGGGUUCCACAGGGUUCUAGUGUUGGUCCACUUCUGUUUAUAGUGGCCCUCAACAAAGUCAUUCGCUUGGUAAAAAUGAGAAACAUCGACAUUAUGGCGUUUGCUGACGACUUGUUCAUUCUAACCAAAGAAGGCAAAGAAGAAGAAAUCUUUAAUAUCCUUCAAGUUGAACUUAAAAAGGCCAACUUAACCCUAAAUAAAGAUAAAUCACACAUAAUCAAAGGUUCAUCCAAAGCAUCAACCAAAAUCGUGGGUGUGAACUUUAACUUCAAACCAACUAUUCUCAACAUCGAUGAACAACUAGAAAUUAAUGGGACAAUUCUAACAAGGAACAAGGAGACUAUCUACACAUUACCACUGGUUCUCAAAAAAUACAUCGUCAAUGCUUAUGUUGCCUCUCUACUUGGUUCCAUAUCUCCUCAAAUUCUUAUCGACAAUACUGAGUUCCUGACACUCUUCUCAAAAAUGAUUCAUCGCGUUAAUGUUUUUCUCAAGAAAAUUAUCCGCUCUCCUCGACACAUCUCAGCUUGGACCCCAAUAGCGAUCAUGGGAAUAAACAAUCCUCUACAGUAUUGGAUAAAGAACGUAACAAUCGCUGUUCUCCGAUCUUCAAGGGACAUCAAAAGAUGGCCUUUCAUCAAACACUUUGAACCUCUUCCACUCUUCAUUAAGAGACCAAAUAUGGAGGUCUUUUACAAGAAGCAAACACCUCUACCCUUGAAAAAUUUUCCUUUAAUUGGAUAUAAAUUGAAAGGUGAAAUCAUUCAAAUUACCGCUCACAAUGGGGUUCAUUUCUAUCGCAUCCUUGAAACUAAAGGCGAUCGGGAAAAUCACUUUCUUGCUGUUUAUAUCAUGGUUAAACUUACAGAAAACAUCAACUGCACUUACAUCCUACCAAAAAUAAUAAUCGAACAUCCUCAAUCUUUCUCAGCCUCCUUUGUGGCCAAUCUAUGUAAUAUGAAUCAAAAGAAAUUUCUUUGGAUGAAGUGUGACAAAUUCAACAACAUUGAUAAACCAAAAGGUAUCUUAAAGACGGUAAAAAACAAAAUUGUCUCAUGGAAUGCCUUCAUGAAAGGUGUUGAGGACAAACUAGACCAAUUCUUUGAGGACAAUUUUAUCAAAGAUGAUGGCUCAAUUGGUAACUUCUUUAGUUUCAAACUGAAUGUAAUUGACUAUGGAAUGAUUGGCGAUAUGUACGCCGAAGAGGUAAUUAAACUAAUUGCAAACAUCAACAUCAAAAUAAGAGUUUUGAACUUCUACAAACGGAAGAAUCAAACCUUACAUCAUUACCUCAACGACUGUAAAACAACUGAGCAAGAAAGAAAUGGAAUUAGCGAAUGGAAAUUUCAAGGAAUUAGACGAAUUGACUCAAACAUCACCAUGGGAUUGAGAAAAAUCUUCACUAAACUUGAAAAGAAACUCGAUUCAUGUGAAUCAAGAAUAAACCCUUUAGUUGACCGAACUACCCUAUUUUAUAAACGAAAAUAUCUUUUAGCAAAAACAACUGACACAAACCCAACAACCCAAUAAUCUUGUAGCUCCCUUACCCAACUAAACCUUAUCUUUAAGUAAAUUAAUGUAACUGAAAACUCGAAGACAAAAACCCAACAAAAAUAACUUGUAAUCACUUCCAUGUAAUGAACAAAACUGUCGUAAAAAUAUUGUAACAAAUCCUUCCCUAACUGGGUCUUGAACUCAGACUGCUCUUUCAAAGUAAUUUGAAAGUUGCGGGCCGCAGAAGUCAACUGCGGUGGGCAUGUGUAAAACAUGAACAGUACUGUAACGUAUUCUGUUUGAAAAUAAAAGCUGUUGGGAGAGAAAUGACAACAUAUUUGUUUGAAGUAUUAAUUAAUAGGCCUCUCUGUAUUAACAUCUUAUAAUUAAUGUUUUUCAAUAAUGAAGAAUAAUUUUUUCUCAAUUGUUGACCGAUCCAAAACUCAACUCUCCAAACCUCAUCUAUCUUAGAUUCAAAUUGAAAAUCAAUUCCAUAAAUCCAAGAUGAUGUUCAACUGUCUUGGAGAGUUAUGGCUAUACGUAAUUACUUAUACACCUCUUAUAAUAUCGGUCUAUCUUUUAAUCAUACCAACGUUUGGAAUCAAAACGGGAAUCAGUCGGUGUUACAUCAAGCUCUUGAUGUCAAUAUUUGAGUUUUGCCGGCAAACAAUU